This 253-nucleotide ribosomal RNA is filed under the name uncultured bacterium. Its description in RNAcentral is "partial 16S ribosomal RNA". It matches the Rfam family "Bacterial small subunit ribosomal RNA", at positions 524 to 776 of the family's 1533-position model. The record is from RNAcentral.
UACGUAGGCAGCAAGCGUUGUUCGGAGUUACUGGGCGUAAAGGGUGUGUAGGCGGUUGGAUAAGUGUGGUGUGAAAUCUCCCGGCUCAACUGGGAGGGUGCGCUACAAACUGUCUGACUAGAGUGUGGGAUGGGUAAGUGGAAUUCCUGGUGUAGCGGUGAAAUGCGCAGAUAUCAGGAGGAACACCAGCGGCGAAGGCGGCGCUCUGGGCCGGUACUGACACUGAGGAGCGAAAGCGUGGGUAGCAAACAGG